CCUACGGGAGGCAGCAGUAAGGAAUAUUGGUCAAUGGACGCAAGUCUGAACCAGCCAUGCCGCGUGAAGGAUUAAGGUCCUCUGGAUUGUAAACUUCUUUUAUUUGGGACGAAAAAGGGCCUUUCUAGGUCAACUGACGGUACCAGAUGAAUAAGCACCGGCUAACUCCGUGCCAGCAGCCGCGGUAAUACGGAGGGUGCAAGCGUUAUCCGGAUUCACUGGGUUUAAAGGGUGCGUAGGCGGGUAGGUAAGUCAGUGGUGAAAUCCUAGAGCUUAACUCUAGAACUGCCAUUGAUACUAUCUAUCUUGAAUAUUGUGGAGGUAAGCGGAAUAUGUCAUGUAGCGGUGAAAUGCUUAGAUAUGACAUAGAACACCUAUUGCGAAGGCAGCUUACUACGCAUAUAUUGACGCUGAGGCACGAAAGCGUGGGGAUCAAACAGGAUUAGAUACCCUGGUAGUCCACGCCCUAAACUAUANAUACUCACAUUAGUAGAUACACAUUAAGUAGUCUGAGAGAAAGACGAUAAGUAAUACCACCGUAACGGUAAGGUACGUUCCGCGAAGGAAGUUAGAAACGUUAACAAAGUUAGAAGUUAGACGGCGUUGAGACGNGCGACGGACGACGACGAGGGAGGAGGAG
This 640-nucleotide ribosomal RNA is filed under the name uncultured bacterium. Its description in RNAcentral is "bacterial SSU rRNA". The stretch from base 1 to 538 matches the Rfam family "Bacterial small subunit ribosomal RNA", at positions 338 to 873 of the family's 1533-position model. The record is from RNAcentral.